RNAcentral lists this transfer RNA (100 nucleotides) under Thermogladius calderae 1633. RNAcentral describes it as "Thermogladius cellulolyticus 1633 tRNA". It matches the Rfam family "tRNA". From Rfam's summary of the family: Transfer RNA (tRNA) molecules are approximately 80 nucleotides in length. Their secondary structure includes four short double-helical elements and three loops (D, anti-codon, and T loops). Lineage: Archaea; Thermoproteati; Thermoproteota; Thermoprotei; Desulfurococcales; Desulfurococcaceae. The record is from Rfam by way of RNAcentral.
GCCCGGGUAGCUCAGCCUGGUAGAGCGCCGGGCUGUGGACGGCCCCUAAUAGGGGCCGGCACAGACCCGGAGGUCCCGGGUUCAAAUCCCGGCCCGGGCC